UGACCUCAAAUCAGGUAGGACUACCCGCUGAACUUAAGCAUAUCAAUAAGCGGAGGAAAAGAAACUAACAAGGAUUCCCCUAGUAACUGCGAGUGAAGCGGGAAAAGCUCAAAUUUAAAAUCUGUCAGUCUUUGGCUGUCCGAGUUGUAAUCUAGAGAAGUGUUAUCUGCGUUGGACCGUGUACAAGUCUCCUGGGAUGGAGCGUCAUAGAGGGUGAGAAUCCCGUCUUUGACACGGACUACCAAGGCUUUGUGAUGCGCUCUCAAAGAGUCGAGUUGUUUGGGAAUGCAGCUCAAAAUGGGUGGUAAAUUCCAUCUAAAGCUAAAUAUUGGCGAGAGACCGAUAGCGAACAAGUACCGUGAGGGAAAGAUGAAAAGAACUUUGGAAAGAGAGUUAAACAGUACGUGAAAUUGCUGAAAGGGAAACGCUUGAAGUCAGUCGCGUUGUCCAGGGAUCAACCUUGCUUUUGCUUGGUGUACUUUCUGGUUAACGGGUCAACAUCAAUUUUGAUCAUUGGAAAAAAGUUAAGGGAAUGUGGCAUCUUUGGAUGUGUUAUAGCCUUUGAUUGUAUACAAUGGUUGGGAUUGAGGAACUCAGCACGCCGCAAGGCCGGGUUUUUAACCACGUACGUGCUUAGGA
This 639-nucleotide ribosomal RNA is filed under the name Cortinarius anomalovelatus. RNAcentral's name for it is "eukaryotic LSU rRNA". It matches the Rfam family "Eukaryotic large subunit ribosomal RNA", at positions 1 to 618 of the family's 3401-position model. The record is from RNAcentral. Lineage: Eukaryota; Fungi; Basidiomycota; Agaricomycetes; Agaricales; Cortinariaceae.